ACAGAUAAAUAUGAAAAGAUUGUUGAGGCUUUAUUUUUGCUCAUACACCAGAAAUAAUAUUUUUUCAUGGAAUCAAGAAGCAUAUUUCUUAUCUCUUAAUUUCUUCCUCUCAGCAACAACAUCCCCAAAUGAUGCUGAUGUUGCCGCUGUUGCCAGCCGAAUUGAGGAGCUGGUGGCAAGUGUUAAGAGGAGGUCCCAGCGUCUUUACAAGGAUAGUGACGGAUGCAAAGGACGUGCCCGAAUCCGCCGAAAGAUCAGGGAGGAAAAAAAAAUCUUAAAUUCUGUAGUGGAAAAGUAUAACACCUUGGUUCCUAAUGCAGAAAAACUGACAUUGGACACCAUUCUAUCUGAUGAGAUUGUUUGGCGAUGGCAGCUUACACACGGUGACUCUGUAGAUCUAAGGACAAAGAGGAAGGCGUUCGACAUUGUGAUGGCAGUAAGGAGACUUGAGGAGGAGAAGAGGAUUCUUAUUGCAGAGAUGAACAAGCAUUGGAAGUCUCUUUGCUCCCGUGCAGACACCCUGAAGCAGAUGUCAUCCCAGCUUUCUAAUGUGACAUCAGGUAUGUAUGUUAUACUUGGCAUACAUUACAAUAUUUCUGAAUUUUUCUAAUUAAUAAAGGCUCAAUAUGUUUUAACAUGUAAGGUGAGACGUGGGGCCUGCUUCAAGAUGGUAUCCGAGGUCUACAGAGCUUGACGAUGAAGAACAAGCAAGCAAGCAACAGCCUGGCAAAGCAUGCAAAGAAAUAUUAUGUUCAAGUUCUGACUGAAACAGAAAUUAACUUUGAUAGUGAUUCUGAGGAAUACCAUACCAAUAGUGACUCUGAGCAAGAUUAAACAUGGCCAGAGUCCUUUUUUAUGCUGUUGUGUGCUGGGGAGGCAGCAUUAAGAAGAGGGCCGCUGGGACAGGUUGGUAAGGAAAGCUGGCUCUGUGUUUGGCAUGGAGCUGGAGUUAAUCAUUUAACAAACUGAGGAUAAUUUGCAGUAGCAGUCUUCUGUCAUGCUCAACAUUGAGGAGGUCCUUUGUCCCCAGGGCAUACCAGCAACUCAAUGUCACAGAAAAGGUUAGGGGAGAAAUGGACUUUUCAGCAUGAGUCUCACCCUGCGCCAACCAUUACAUCGCUUUGUCUAUUGUCUAGUAUCCACUAUCCAUUUGACUGUCUUACAGGCUACAUUAGCCCCUCUACACAUUCUGGACUGUGGUUUCAACAUUUACCCCUGUUGGCUUGUAUAAUCUUUUCUCUUUUUAUAUAUAUAUAUAUUUAAGUUUCUGUUUUUCUAUCUAUUUUAACUUCCUUGUAUUGUUUUUGUUAAGCAAUACUAUUAUGCUCAGACUCUUUUUUCCAUAGUCAUAUUAAACAUGCACAGCUUUGCACUGAUUAAAUCCCUGCACUGUUUACUUUUGCACUACCACCACUGCAAAUCACUCUAUAGCUGCCCAUCAUGUAUCACAGGGUCAGUCCCUACCAGGCCUUUGUAAUCACUUGACAUGCUCUUCACUUUUUACAUUUGUGAUUUUUGUUAUGUGUCUGAGCUGUGUGUUGUUUUUGUGGUUGUAUAAGCUAAUAAAUGCCUAAAAUGUGGUGUGUCGUCUUAAGUAGCCUACAGUGUCUGUACUAGGGGGAAGAAGACAUUUCAUCAUGACAGUUUCCUCCAUCUCCUAGAGACAUCUUACAUGGAUACACAGAUAACAUUUAUUCACGAGAUCAU
Cyprinus carpio carpio is the source of this 1707-nucleotide long non-coding RNA. The record is from Ensembl. Lineage: Eukaryota; Metazoa; Chordata; Actinopteri; Cypriniformes; Cyprinidae.